RNAcentral lists this ribosomal RNA (1017 nucleotides) under uncultured bacterium. RNAcentral's name for it is "bacterial SSU rRNA". It matches the Rfam family "Bacterial small subunit ribosomal RNA", at positions 355 to 1375 of the family's 1533-position model. The record is from RNAcentral.
UGAGGAAUAUUGGUCAAUGGACGAGAGUCUGAACCAGCCAAGUAGCGUGAAGGAUGACUGCCCUAUGGGUUGUAAACUUCUUUUAUACGGGAAUAAGGUUAGCCACGUGUGGCUUUUUGUAUGUACCGUAUGAAUAAGGAUCGGCUAACUCCGUGCCAGCAGCCGCGGUAAUACGGAGGAUCCGAGCGUUAUCCGGAUUUAUUGGGUUUAAAGGGAGCGUAGGCGGGUUGUUAAGUCAGUUGUGAAAGUUUGCGGCUCAACCGUAAAAUUGCAGUUGAUACUGGCGACCUUGAGUGCAACAGAGGUAGGCGGAAUUCGUGGUGUAGCGGUGAAAUGCUUAGAUAUCACGAAGAACUCCGAUUGCGAAGGCAGCUUACUGGAUUGUAACUGACGCUGAUGCUCGAAAGUGUGGGUAUCAAACAGGAUUAGAUACCCUGGUAGUCCACACAGUAAACGAUGAAUACUCGCUGUUGGCGAUAUACGGUCAGCGGCCAAGCGAAAGCAUUAAGUAUUCCACCUGGGGAGUACGCCGGCAACGGUGAAACUCAAAGGAAUUGACGGGGGCCCGCACAAGCGGAGGAACAUGUGGUUUAAUUCGAUGAUACGCGAGGAACCUUACCCGGGCUUAAAUUGCAACUGACUGAACCGGAAACGGUUCUUUCUUCGGACAGUUGUGAAGGUGCUGCAUGGUUGUUGUCAGCUCGUGCCGUGAGGUGUCGGCUUAAGUGCCAUAACGAGCGCAACCCUUAUCGAUAGUUACUAGCAGGUCAUGCUGAGGACUCUAUUGAGACUGCCGUCGUAAGAUGUGAGGAAGGUGGGGAUGACGUCAAAUCAGCACGGCCCUUACGUCCGGGGCUACACACGUGUUACAAUGGGGGGUACAGAAGGCAGCUACACGGCGACGUGGUGCUAAUCCCGAAAGCCUCUCUCAGUUCGGAUUGGAGUCUGCAACCCGACUCCAUGAAGCUGGAUUCGCUAGUAAUCGCGCAUCAGCCACGGCGCGGUGAAUACGUUCCC